Molecule: ribosomal RNA, 468 nt
Filed under: uncultured bacterium
Lineage: Bacteria
Description: partial 16S ribosomal RNA
Rfam family: Bacterial small subunit ribosomal RNA
Source: RNAcentral
GACGAACGCUGGCGGCGUGCUUAACACAUGCAAGUCGAACGGAAAGGCCCUGCUUUUGUGGGGUGCUCGAGUGGCGAACGGGUGAGUAACACGUGAGUAACCUGCCCUUGACUUUGGGAUAACUUCAGGAAACUGGGGCUAAUACAGGAUAGGAUCUCCUGCAGCAGGGUGGGGAUUGGAAAGUUUCGGCGGUUGGGGAUGGACUCGCGGCUUAUGAGCUUGUUGGUGGGGUAGUGGCUUACCAAGGCUUUGACGGGUAGCCGGCCUGAGAGGGUGGACGGCCACCUUGGGCCUGCGGUACGGCCCAGACUCCAACGGUAGGCAGCAGUGGGGAACAUUGCACAAUGGGCGGAAGCCUGAUGCAGCAACGCCGCGUGCGGGAUGCCGGCCUUCGGGUUGUAAACCGCUUUCGCCUGUGACGAAGCGUUAGUGACGGUAAUGGGUAAAGAAGCACCGGCUAACUACGUG